AGAGUGCUACUACAAUGGCUUUUUUACACAGUAUAAUUUUUAAUAAGGCACAAAAUUGGCAGGUGUCCUUAAAAAAAGUCCUUGAAACAUUUCUAUGGAAUAUUAUCCUAACUGUUCUUGCCAAUUUAGAGCUGAGACAAUCGAGCCCUAUAUCCUAGAUUUCGCAGUCAAUUUCAACUUUUGUUUGGUUCUGCUGUAGUUCAUCAACUGGCAGUUGCAAUAACCCCCAGGUGCUUCUCAUAAAAAGUAGAUGACCAAUUUAAACAGGUAAAGAGAGCUUUGAGAUCUGUCUCCACAGAAAAUGUUAAUAAUAUCCCAUUUCUUUCACAGAACAUAAGCUGACUUUCUGAUGUGACAUUUAAUUAUUUCCCUUGUUCUUUAUUAACCUUAAGAAUACACAGUAAGGGAAUAGAAAGCAAUCGUUUUAAGCAGGAGACACUGGUGUAAUAAAUAUGUGAUCUGGAAACAUGUAUGCAAAUGUUCUGCCCUACUCUUGUGAUAUUUAAUUGUUGAGUCUUGCUAAGGAUAACCAGUUCCUAAGUACAGCUAGCUAUGCUUCUCUGAUACCUUUGAAGGCAGAAUUCUACUUGCUGUUGUGUACUUCUCCUGUUCCUAUAUUCAGCUUCCAUAGGUUUGAUGUUACAGGUUCAGAAAGAACUAGUCCUUUAAAAAUAUAUACAUUAAUAGGGAGGGACCGACCCUGUUCCUGCCAUUCCAUCCAUAGGAAUUCCAUCCAUAGGAAUAAUACCAUUGCCAUAAGUAAAAAAUAAGCUGUUUGGGACCUUCCAUUGGAUGGUUGCCAUCCUUGGAGAGUUUACCUUGGCCAUAAGUCUCUUUUACCCAGAUUUGCAGUUAGAUUAAUUUGUGCCUUGUAUCUGUGUUAAUAUUUCAACUCAUACAUGGUGUUGCUAUGUGAAUUAUCCUUCUUCAUGCUGAAUUUAACUUUCAUAUUUAUCCUAAAAACCGUAUCUUACUGUGAUCCAGUGUGGUAUACAAAGCAGAGCCCUUUCAGAAAUAUAUCUCGCA
Molecule: long non-coding RNA, 1026 nt
Organism: Oxyura jamaicensis (ruddy duck)
Lineage: Eukaryota; Metazoa; Chordata; Aves; Anseriformes; Anatidae
Exons: 3
Source: RefSeq, a predicted model, not a curated record